GUGAAGAGAACUGGUUUCUCUUCCCGAGGACUGGGGUUGGUUUGAUUCUGGCACUCAUACGGCAGCUUACAACCAUCUGUAACUGCACCCUCUCUGACCUCCUCAGGCACUGGGCACGCACACGGUGGACAGACAUACAGCCCACCAUGACAGAAGGGCCUGCUGAAAACCGCUGCAAGCCAACCUGAACUCCUCGUAGGAAGGCACUCUUUGUUCGACGGCCCGUAACUUGGCAGCAUUCUCUCUUUUAUACUUCUCGUCAGCAGCAAGUGCAGCCUGCAGCUCUUUCUCCAAAGUCUUGAAGUUGAUUGCAUCAUUCUUUUCCAUGGCUAAGGCCUGGGAAGGCAAGAGGAAUGAGCAUCAGCAGAGGUUCAGUAUCAGGAUCAAAUGGAAUUGCAUGAUGAAGACGUAUUCAAGGCUUCUCACGGAAAACAGAACAGAAAGCUUCCA
This is a long non-coding RNA of Peromyscus eremicus (cactus mouse), 450 nucleotides long. RefSeq lists it as uncharacterized. Lineage: Eukaryota; Metazoa; Chordata; Mammalia; Rodentia; Cricetidae. The transcript is spliced from 3 exons. The record is from RefSeq and is a predicted model, not a curated record.